Molecule: ribosomal RNA, 496 nt
Filed under: uncultured bacterium
Lineage: Bacteria
Description: bacterial SSU rRNA
Rfam family: Bacterial small subunit ribosomal RNA
Source: RNAcentral
GGCUAACGCUGGCGGCGUGUCUUAGCCAUGCAAGUCGAGCGGACUUAUGGGGGUAACUUAUAAGUCAGCGGCGGACGGCGGAGUAACACGUAGCUAACCUACCCUCUGGACGGGGGAUAACCUACCGAAAGGUGGGCUAAUACCCCGAUGUAGUCAUCCUGUAUAGGGGUGAUGAAAGGUGGGCUUCUGUUUACAAGCUCAUGCUGGAGGAGGGGGCUGCGGCCUAUCAGGUAGUUGGUAGGGUAAUAGCCUACCAAGCCGAUGACGGGUAGCCGGCCUGAGAGGGUGACCGGCCCGAGGGGCACUGAGAUACGGGUCCCACUCCUACGGGAGGCAGCAGUAGGGAAUAUUGGGCAAUGGGCGAAAGCCUGACCCAGCCAUGCCGCGUGAAGGAAGACGGCCUUAUGGGUUGUAAACUUCUUUACUACGCGAAUAGAGGUUAGUACGAGAUACUAAUAGGAAGGUAGUGUAGUAAAAAGCACCGGCUAACUCCGUG